AUUUAAAUAGCUUAAAUAGAGCAUAGUAUUGAAGCUACUAAUGAGAUUAAAUAAUCUUUAAAUA
Molecule: transfer RNA, 64 nt
Filed under: Galiblatta cribrosa
Lineage: Eukaryota; Metazoa; Arthropoda; Insecta; Blattodea; Blaberidae
Description: tRNA-Phe
Source: RNAcentral